Molecule: non-coding RNA, 78 nt
Organism: Ameiurus melas (black bullhead)
Lineage: Eukaryota; Metazoa; Chordata; Actinopteri; Siluriformes; Ictaluridae
Source: the annotation of a GenBank genome assembly
GGAGGUAUAGCUCAGUGGUAGAGCAUUUGACUGCAGAUCAAGAUCAAGAGGUCUCUGGUUCAACUCCAGGUGCCCCCU